CCUGCAUUUGGCAGAGGAUUGACAGAUUGAGAGCUCUUUCUUGAUUUGGUGGAUGGUGGUGCAUGGCCGUUCUUAGUUGGUGGAGCGAUUUGUCUGGUUAAUUCCGAUAACGAACGAGACACUAGCCUAUUAAAUAGGUGCGUGGUUCUCUGCACCUUGCACCCUUCUUAGAGGGACAAGCGGCUCCUGGCCGCACGAAACAGAGCAAUAACAGGUCUGUGAUGCCCUUAGAUGUCCGGG
RNAcentral lists this ribosomal RNA (240 nucleotides) under Ixodes scapularis (black-legged tick). Its description in RNAcentral is "eukaryotic small subunit ribosomal RNA". It matches the Rfam family "Eukaryotic small subunit ribosomal RNA", at positions 1223 to 1485 of the family's 1831-position model. The record is from RNAcentral. Lineage: Eukaryota; Metazoa; Arthropoda; Arachnida; Ixodida; Ixodidae.